UACGUAGGUGGCGAGCGUUGUCCGGAUUUACUGGGCGUAAAGCGCGCGUAGGCGGCCUGUUAAGUUCUGUGUGAAAGGUUCCGGCUCAACCGGGACAGUGCAUGGGAUACUGGCGGGCUUAAGGGCAGCAGAGGUCGGUGGAAUUCCCGGUGGAGUGGUGAAAUGCGUAGAGAUCGGGAGGAACACCAGUGGCGAAGGCGGCCGACUGGGCUGUACCUGACGCUGAGGCGCGAAAGCGUGGGGAGCGAACCGG
This 253-nucleotide ribosomal RNA is filed under the name uncultured bacterium. Its description in RNAcentral is "partial 16S ribosomal RNA". It matches the Rfam family "Bacterial small subunit ribosomal RNA", at positions 524 to 776 of the family's 1533-position model. The record is from RNAcentral.